Molecule: long non-coding RNA, 633 nt
Organism: Calypte anna (Anna's hummingbird)
Lineage: Eukaryota; Metazoa; Chordata; Aves; Apodiformes; Trochilidae
Exons: 3
Source: RefSeq, a predicted model, not a curated record
UCAGUGCGCAAUAGCCAAUGCUUGGCCUCGCUGUCAACCAAACAAAUCAAACCAAACCCAGGUCAAGUGCUUUUGGCUUCCAAGGAUCACUUAAGUGCUGCGAAAAGCAUUGUUAGCACUGGGCAGCUGGAAGCAUCAGCUGCUUGUGGUCCCUAAAGUCCCUCUGGUACUCAUUAUAAAGGGUAAUAAACAGCUGCUGUGUUUCGACAUUGAGGUGAUGGCAUUCUGUGGUGGAUGAUUCAUGGUUCUUUCAAGCUGAAAGGUGAGGAGGUGGAGCACCCACUGUGUGUUCCUGUAGAGCCAGCACGGUGGUGGUCUUCUCAGUUGUCCGUAAAGUCCUGGUAUAAAGAAAUUGGAAGCCCAAGAGAGGAGUCUGUCAUCUUUGUCUUGAGGAGCAGUCCUGCAUUCAGCAUCAGUCUUGCUGAAGUAACUAGAGGUCUUUACAUAGAAAAAAAUUAUAUAAUUUGUCAUGAGCACUGGUUGCAAAACUGAGGUCUGAGAGGUUCAGCACUUCCCUGCCCCAGUGGCUAUGUUGUUGUGUCACUAUCAUACUUGAGCACCUCAGAGACGAUGAAAAUGUCCUCACAGACAAACAUCUUGUGAAGGAAAUAAAUCCAAUUAACAUUUUUAAAU